RNAcentral lists this ribosomal RNA (570 nucleotides) under Sarcophaga karnyi. RNAcentral describes it as "partial 16S ribosomal RNA". Lineage: Eukaryota; Metazoa; Arthropoda; Insecta; Diptera; Sarcophagidae. The record is from RNAcentral.
UUAAUUAUAGUUAAAUAGUAUUGUGAAAGAAAAUUGAAAUAAUUUGAAAAAUUAAUAUUUUAAAAGAAAAUUUAAUUUAUUGUACCUUGUGUAUCAGGGUUUAUUAAUUAAAAAUUAUUUAUUAUAAUUUUCUCGAUUUUAAAAGAGUUAAUAUAUUAUAAGAGUUAAUGUGACAAAAUUAUUUUAUAUAGUAUAUUAGAAAUGAAAUGUUAUUCGUUUUUAAAGGUAUCUAGUUCUUUAAGAAAUAAAUUUAAUUUAGAAAUAUCAUAUUAUUUAGUUAAAUGUAUUAAUUAAAUAAUUAUUUUAUUUUAAUAUUUUAUGGGAUAAGCUGUGAAAUAAAUUAUUAAAAAUUUUAAAAUAGUUUAAUAAAUAUAAGCUUAGAAAUAGCUAUUAUUAAUGAAAUUGUUAUAAUUUAUUUUAUAAUAUUUAUUAUUUAUUAAAUUUUAAUUAUGUAUUAAGGUAUUUAUUUUAAUUUAAAAAAUAAAAAAAUAAUGAUAAAAUUAGUAUAUUAUGUUGUAUAAAUAUGUGAAAUUGAUAAGUUUUUAUAAAGAACUCGGCAAAAAUAAUGUU